GAGGGCUAAUACAGCAUAAGACCACGGCUUCGAAAGGAGCUGAGGUCAAAGCGGAGGAUCGCAAGACUUCGCGCUUGGGGAUGAGCCUGCGGCCCAUCAGGUAGUUGGCGGAGUAAAAGCCCACCAAGCCUAAGACGGGUAGCUGGUCUGAGAGGAUGAUCAGCCACACUGGAACUGAGACACGGUCCAGACUCCUACGGGAGGCAGCAGUGGGGAAUCUUGCGCAAUGGACGAAAGUCUGACGCAGCGACGCCGCGUGGGUGAUGAAGGCCUUCGGGUUGUAAAGCCCUGUGGGGAGGGACGAAUAAGUUCCAGCUAAUACCUGGAGCGAUGACGGUACCUCCUUAGCAAGCACCGGCUAACUCUGUGCCAGCAGCCGCGGUAAGACAGAGGGUGCAAACGUUGUUCGGAAUUACUGGGCGUAAAGCGCGUGUAGGCGGCCAUACAAGUCGGAUGUGAAAGCCCUCGGCUCAACCGGGGAAGUGCACUCGAAACUGCAAGGCUAGAGUCUCGGAGAGGAUCGUGGAAUUCUCGGUGUAGAGGUGAAAUUCGUAGAUAUCGAGAGGAACACCGGUGGCGAAGGCGGCGAUCUGGACGAUGACUGACGCUGAGACGCGAAAGCGUGGGGAGCAAACAGGAU
Molecule: ribosomal RNA, 640 nt
Filed under: uncultured bacterium
Lineage: Bacteria
Description: bacterial SSU rRNA
Rfam family: Bacterial small subunit ribosomal RNA
Source: RNAcentral